This 466-nucleotide ribosomal RNA is filed under the name uncultured bacterium. Its description in RNAcentral is "partial 16S ribosomal RNA". It matches the Rfam family "Bacterial small subunit ribosomal RNA", at positions 28 to 507 of the family's 1533-position model. The record is from RNAcentral.
GACGAACGCUGGCGGCGUGCUUAACACAUGCAAGUCGAACGGAAAGGCCCUGCUUGCAGGGUACUCGAGUGGCGAACGGGUGAGUAACACGUGGGUGAUCUGCCCUGCACUUCGGGAUAAGCUUGGGAAACUGGGUCUAAUACCGGAUAGGAGCCAUCUUUAGUGUGGUGGUUGGAAAGUUUUUUCGGUGUAGGAUGAGCUCGCGGCCUAUCAGCUUGUUGGUGGGGUAAUGGCCUACCAAGGCGGCGACGGGUAGCCGGCCGGAGAGGGUGUACGGCCACAUUGGGACGGAGAUACGGCCCAGAUUCCGACGGGGGGCAGAAGUGGGGAAUAUUGCACAAUGGGCGCAAGCCUGAUGCAGCGACGCCGCGUGGGGGAUGAAGGCCUUCGGGUUGUAAACUCCUUUCGCUAGGGACGAAGCUUUUUUGUGACGGUACCUAGAUAAGAAGCACCGGCUAACUACGUG